GACGAACGCUGGCGGCGUGCUUAACACAUGCAAGUCGAACGAAGAGCGAUGGAAGCUUGCUUCUAUCCAUCUUAGUGGCGAACGGGUGAGUAACGCGUAAUCAACCUGCCCUUUAGAGGGGGACAACAGUUGGAAACGACUGCUCAUACCGCAUACGAUCUAAUCUCGGCAUCGAGGAUAGAUGAAAGGUGGCCUCUACAUGUAUGCUAUCAUUGCAGGAGGGGAUUGCGUCUGAUUAGCUAGAUGGAGGGGUAACGGCCCACCAAGGCGAUGAUCAGUAGCCGGUCUGAGAGGAUGAGCGGCCACAGUGGGACGGAGACACGGCCCAGACGCCUACGGGAGGCAGCAAUGGGGAAUCUGCCGCAAUGGACGAAAGUCUGACGGAGCAACGCCGCGGGAGGGAGGACGGCCGUCGGGUUGGAAAGCUCUGUUAAUCGGGACGAAAGGCCUUCUUGCGAAUAGUGAGAAGGAUUGACGGUAACGGAAUAGAAAGCCACGGCUAACUACGUG
This 510-nucleotide ribosomal RNA is filed under the name uncultured bacterium. Its description in RNAcentral is "partial 16S ribosomal RNA". It matches the Rfam family "Bacterial small subunit ribosomal RNA", at positions 28 to 507 of the family's 1533-position model. The record is from RNAcentral.